UCCCUGGUGGCUCAGUGGGUAAAGCAUGUGCCUGCAGUGCAGGAGACCUGGGUUCGAUCCCUGGGUUGGGAA
Bos taurus (domestic cattle) is the source of this 72-nucleotide non-coding RNA. NCBI's taxonomy places the organism in Eukaryota, Metazoa, Chordata, Mammalia, Artiodactyla, Bovidae. The record is from Rfam.